UUGUGGAGGAGGACGCCGAAGGUGGGGCUAAUGACUGGGGUGAAGUCGUAACAAGGUAGCCGUACCGGAAGGUGCGGCUGGAUCACCUCCUAACAGGGAGACAACAAAAUGUUUAAUAUUAUUAUUUUGUCACCUUAGGUCGAUCGGUAUCUCACGUUUUUAAUUUAUUAAGAAUUUCAUUUCCUAAGUUUUUCUAGGUCACACCCAUUAUUUUUCCUGGGCCAUUAGCUCAGGUGGUUAGAGCGCACCCCUGAUAAGGGUGAGGUCCCUGGUUCAAGUCCAGGAUGGCCCAUAUCUCUAUGUUGGGGGUAUAGCUCAGUUGGUAGAGCGCCUGCUUUGCAAGCAGGAUGUCAGCGGUUCGAGUCCGCUUACCUCCACUGAUUACCACCUCUUCCAUAACCGGUAUAAAGGAAAUGUUUUGAGUUGUGAUCAAAUUCUGAAAGAAUCUAGCUUCCUAAUGAAAUCAUUAAGAUGCUGGACUCAUUGAAUUAAUUUCAUUGUUUUCAGAGAACCUUGACAACUGCAUAGAUUAUUUUUAAAGACAAUAAGCAUCUUUAAUGAUGCAGAUUUAUUAUUUGUGCGAAUGCAUUAAUAACAAUUCUAUUAAGCUGAUGCUUCAAUUUUGAAGUUAUUGGUCAAGCUACAA
RNAcentral lists this unclassified non-coding RNA (646 nucleotides) under uncultured Prochlorococcus sp. RNAcentral's name for it is "partial 16S-23S ribosomal RNA intergenic spacer; may also contain 16S ribosomal RNA and 23S ribosomal RNA". The stretch from base 305 to 377 matches the Rfam family "tRNA". Lineage: Bacteria; Bacillati; Cyanobacteriota; Cyanophyceae; Synechococcales; Prochlorococcaceae. The record is from RNAcentral.